UACGUAGGGUGCAAGCGUUGUCCGGAAUUAUUGGGCGUAAAGAGCUUGUAGGCGGUUUGUCGCGUCUGCUGUGAAAUUUCGGGGCUCAACCCCGAACUUGCAGUGGGUACGGGCAGACUAGAGUGUAGUAGGGGAGACUGGAAUUCCUGGUGUAGCGGUGAAAUGCGCAGAUAUCAGGAGGAACACCGAUGGCGAAGGCAGGUCUCUGGGCCAUAACUGACGCUGAGAAGCGAAAGCAUGGGGAGCGAACAGG
This 253-nucleotide ribosomal RNA is filed under the name uncultured bacterium. RNAcentral describes it as "partial 16S ribosomal RNA". It matches the Rfam family "Bacterial small subunit ribosomal RNA", at positions 524 to 776 of the family's 1533-position model. The record is from RNAcentral.